GUGGGGAAUCUUGCGCAAUGGGCGAAAGCCUGACGCAGCCAUGCCGCGUGAAUGAUGAAGGUCUUAGGAUUGUAAAAUUCUUUCACCGGGGACGAUAAUGACGGUACCCGGAGAAGAAGCUCCGGCUAACUUCGUGCCAGCAGCCGCGGUAAUACGAAGGGGGCUAGCGUUGCUCGGAAUUACUGGGCGUAAAGGGCGCGUAGGCGGACAGCUUAGUCAGAGGUGAAAGCCCAGGGCUCAACCUUGGAAUUGCAUUUGAUACUGGCUGUCUUGAGUUUGGGAGCUGUGAGUGGAACUCCGAGUGUAAAGGUGAAAUUCGUAGAUAUUCGGAAGAACACCAGUGGCGAAGGCGACUCACUGGCCCAAUACUGACGCUGAGGCGCGAAAGCGUGGGGAGCAAACAGGAUUAGAAACCCCUGUAGUCC
Molecule: ribosomal RNA, 425 nt
Filed under: uncultured bacterium
Lineage: Bacteria
Description: partial 16S ribosomal RNA
Rfam family: Bacterial small subunit ribosomal RNA
Source: RNAcentral